Molecule: transfer RNA, 21 nt
Filed under: Merops bulocki
Lineage: Eukaryota; Metazoa; Chordata; Aves; Coraciiformes; Meropidae
Also listed under: 1 other name
Description: partial tRNA-Arg
Source: RNAcentral
AGUUAGUCUAACACCAAGACA